CCCAGAUAAACCCAAACCCUUCGCGAGGCGGGGACGGAAAGCCACGGGUCUCGAUGAGAUAGCCGGGUUGCCUGG
Molecule: non-coding RNA, 75 nt
Filed under: Desulfobacca sp.
Lineage: Bacteria; Pseudomonadati; Thermodesulfobacteriota; Desulfobaccia; Desulfobaccales; Desulfobaccaceae
Description: c-di-GMP sequence
Rfam family: c-di-GMP-I riboswitch aptamer
About the family: GEMM was predicted in a large-scale screen for bacterial structured RNA regulatory elements. Genes associated with GEMM are involved in a diverse array of functions, including chemotaxis regulation, signal transduction, secretion and chitin.
Source: RNAcentral